Molecule: non-coding RNA, 613 nt
Organism: Chelonoidis abingdonii (Abingdon island giant tortoise)
Lineage: Eukaryota; Metazoa; Chordata; Testudines; Testudinidae
Source: RefSeq, a predicted model, not a curated record
CUCAAUGAUAACUUGGCAGGAGAAGGGGGAAGCUGCCAGGUUUUCCCUGGGCUCACUACCUGGUCGUUCAUUCCAGCCUACAUUUGAAGUGGUUACAUGCAGCCAGAGAGACUGGAGUGUAUAACUCAGGAGUUAAAUAGUAACUUCCCCUUCAGGACUACUCAUGGUAGUAAGCACCAUGCCUGAUAAGUGUUUUCAGAAUCCAAGCCCCUAAAUUAAGACAGAAGUGGAGAUGACAACAUGAUUAUGCAUUCACUGGAGAAGCUAUUCCAUGUGGUUUGAAUCCAAUCCAGUCCCUGUGGAAGUCAACGGAAAGACUCCUAUCGAUGUUAUUCUUAGCUAUCCAGGUAUUUCUAUGUUUGUAUAUGCUUCCUAAAGGGCUCACAAUCCUACCACCUCCUCUGUGAGGAAGAGAAGCACUAUCUCUACAUAUGGUGAAUUAAGGCACAGAGUAGAUGAAGUGAGUCUUCAAGGUUACACAGUACACUUGUGGCUAAGCCAAGAACUGAUUUCAGGUCUCCUCAGUCCAAGUACAGUGCCUUAGCUAGUGGAUCAUCCUUCCUAUCUUUAAUGCAGUGGUCCCCAACCUUUUUCCGGGUGGCGGGCGCCAGAC